This is a non-coding RNA of Chelonoidis abingdonii (Abingdon island giant tortoise), 397 nucleotides long. Lineage: Eukaryota; Metazoa; Chordata; Testudines; Testudinidae. The record is from the annotation of a RefSeq genome assembly.
GACAAAAAUGAUUUCACAGACUCAUCUCAUCUGGCUCCUAGUGCUCUGGAUUCAGGACACAAAGGGGCAGAUUGUGCUGACUCAGACUCCAGGAUCCCUGGCAGUGUCUCCAGGAGACAGAGUCAUCAUCAACUGCAAAGCCAGUUCAAGUGCUUCUAGCAAUAUACAGUGGUACCAACAGAAAUCAGGACAAGCUCCUAAGCGCCUUGUCUACACUGUUUCCACCUGUCCUUUUGGGAUCCCAAACCGGUUCAGUGGCAGUGGGUCUGGCAUCGACUUCACAUUUACAGUCAGCUGGGUAGAAGCUGAUGAUACUGGAGAUUAUUAUUGUCAACAAGAUCAAAGCUGGCCUCUCACAUCUGUUGGUCAGCAUCAGAUCUCAGGUGUAUCAAGAUGA